Peromyscus maniculatus bairdii (prairie deer mouse) is the source of this 77-nucleotide small nucleolar RNA. RefSeq annotates it as small nucleolar RNA SNORD66. The record is from RefSeq and is a predicted model, not a curated record. NCBI's taxonomy places the organism in Eukaryota, Metazoa, Chordata, Mammalia, Rodentia, Cricetidae.
GUCUGGUGAUCACUGAUGGUCUGUGCUUGUCUGUAGUGGUCACUGAUACAUACUCAUGCAUGUGAAAACCUGAAGAC